CCCUUAACUCAAAUCCAUCCGCCAGAUAAUUUUCCUACUUUUUCCUAAGGGAGGAGACGAGUCGCCUGGAAGAGAGGGGAGCUGAUUUUUUAGGGUUCUUUCUUCGGCUCUGAGGAACUUGGGGCUCAGUGGCAGAGCCUAACUGGGCCGCGGGAGGUGGGGCCGAGGGAACUACUUUCAGCAGCGUACGGACACGGCGGCUACGUAGGCAGUGAUGAGUGACGCAACAGACGCCGCAUAAAUUUCAGCCCCGCGGAGCUGCGAGCGUUCAGGAGCGGCUGGCGUUGUCGGGUGUUGGUGUCUUGGCGUCCGGGUGACUCGGCGUGAUUGCGUCCGGUGUCCUUGCAUUCGCUAACAGGUCAAAAUGCAGAUCUUCGUGAAGACCUUGACUGGCAAGACCAUCACCCUGGAGGUGGAGCCCAGUGACACCAUC
Neomonachus schauinslandi (Hawaiian monk seal) is the source of this 433-nucleotide RNA transcript. RefSeq lists it as uncharacterized. The transcript has 2 exons. The record is from RefSeq and is a predicted model, not a curated record. Lineage: Eukaryota; Metazoa; Chordata; Mammalia; Carnivora; Phocidae.